RNAcentral lists this long non-coding RNA (1267 nucleotides) under Salmo salar (Atlantic salmon). RNAcentral's name for it is "lncRNA (ENSSSAG00000099017.1)". The record is from RNAcentral. Lineage: Eukaryota; Metazoa; Chordata; Actinopteri; Salmoniformes; Salmonidae.
CGGGAAAGCACUCCGGGGUAGUAAAGUGAAUCCUGUAGAGAGCACAGAGUGCGACGUGGACCACUGCUUCCUACACAGGGAUGCAUUGGCAGCGAAUUACAUGGUGCCAGAGCUCCACGCUACUCUCCAGGAUGUGAUCAAGUGUGCCAACUAUAUCAAAAAUGGUUCCACGAAAAGCAGGUGUUUUCCAGGCCUUCUGUAGGUAUAUGGGGAGCGAGCACCAGCAUGUGCUUUAUCAUGCAGAGGUCCGCUGGCUUUCCAGGGGUAAAGUGUUGGGUCACUUUUAUGAGCUUCGAGCGGAGAUUGCUGCGUUUCUUUCGGGAAAACAAGUCAUCUCUGCCCGAACAUUUACAUUGUGAGGAAUGGUUCACGCAAAUUGCCUACCUGGCGGAUAUUUUUGAUCAUCUGAAUUCUCUCAAUGUGUCAAUGCAAGGGAGGUGGCACAAUCGAUUUGAACAGAGAGACAAAGUGGAUGCCUUCAUGAUGAAGCUUGAAUCGUGUUUCUAACGGGAGGAUAUGAUUCCUGUAAUAUUCAUAUGUGAAUACAUACUGAAUUAUAAUUGGAUGCAUUUUACCGCCGUAUCAUACUGUGCGGUGAUUGGUUAAGACCACCCAGACGGUUAGGUCAUGGGCAGUUGAUCGUGGUUGGAGAUAGUCUAACAUGUAGUUGUAGCUAGUUAAUAAAGAGUUAUGUUAAGAAACAUCCUGUAGUUCUGCGUUUUAUUAUUUUGUACAAAGUGUACAAAACAAGACAAUUCCCAAUACUGAUUUCCAGAUUCAGAAUCUGAUCAACAAAGCGCACAGCGACACACUGAAAAAAAAAAGUUAAACAGCAUCUUGUCAAGCUGCAGGGAAAGUUUUGCGACUACUAGAACAGGAGAUAGACGACUGGAUACGGGACCCCUUUAAAGUGGAGGUGGGAAGCGUCACGUUGCCAAGCAACGAAGAGGCUCUGCUGUUGGCGCUGUUGUUUGAUCGCGGACUGUGAGCACACGUCUUCCCUGAAAUGACACUGCCAAAGUUCUGGAGCAGCGUAAUGGGAGAGUAUCCUUCUCUCGUCUGUUAUGCAAUCAGAAUCAAGCUACCGUUCAGAACGAGCUAUCUGUGUGAAAGUGGCUUCUCUGCUUUAGCCGUGCUGAAAACUAAAAGCAGAAACAAACUGGACAGCCAGCAUGACCUUCGAGUUGCCCUGUCAACCAAACUUCAAUAAACUUAUCGAACUCAAGAAACACCGCCAGCUUUCUUACUGAUAGGACACACAAACACA